RNAcentral lists this ribosomal RNA (478 nucleotides) under uncultured bacterium. RNAcentral describes it as "partial 16S ribosomal RNA". It matches the Rfam family "Bacterial small subunit ribosomal RNA", at positions 28 to 523 of the family's 1533-position model. The record is from RNAcentral.
GACGAACGCUGGCGGCGUGCUUAACACAUGCAAGUCGAACGGUAAGGCCCUUCGGGGUACACGAGUGGCGAACGGGUGAGUAACACGUGGGUGAUCUGCCCUGCACUUCGGGAUAAGCCUGGGAAACUGGGUCUAAUACCGGAUAGGACCACUGCCUGCAUGGGUGGUGGUGGAAAGCUUUUGCGGUGUGGGAUGGGCCCGCGGCCUAUCAGCUUGUCGGUGGGGUGAUGGCCUACCAAGGCGACGACGGGUAGCCGGCCUGAGAGGGUGACCGGCCACACUGGGACAGGGAUACGGCCCAGACUCCUACGGGGGGCAGCAGUGGGGAAGAUUGCGCAGUGGGCGCAAGCCUGAUGCAGCGACGCCGCGUGAGGGAUGACGGCCUUCGGGUUGUAAACCUCUUUCAGCACCGACGAAGCGCAAGUGACGGUAGGUGCAGAAGAAGGACCGGCCAACUACGUGCCAGCCGCCGCAGUAA